GAUGAACGCUGGCAGCGUGCCUAAUACAUGCAAGUCGAGCGAACAGACGAGGAGCUUGCUCCUCUGACGUUAGCGGCGGACGGGUGAGUAACACGUGGAUAACCUACCUAUAAGACUGGGAUAACUUCGGGAAACCGGAGCUAAUACCGGAUAAUAUAUUGAACCGCAUGGUUCAAUAGUGAAAGACGGUUUUGCUGUCACUUAUAGAUGGAUCCGCGCCGCAUUAGCUAGUUGGUAAGGUAACGGCUUACCAAGGCAACGAUGCGUAGCCGACCUGAGAGGGUGAUCAGCCACACUGGAACUGAGACACGGUCCAGACUCCUACGGGAGGCAGCAGUAGGGAAUCUUCCGCAAUGGGCGAAAGCCUGACGGAGCAACGCCGCGUGAGUGAUGAAGGUCUUCGGAUCGUAAAACUAUGUUAUUAGGGAAGAACAAAUGUGUAAGUAACUAUGCACGUCUUGACGGUACCUAAUCAGAAAGCCACGGCUAACUACGUG
Molecule: ribosomal RNA, 497 nt
Filed under: uncultured bacterium
Lineage: Bacteria
Description: partial 16S ribosomal RNA
Rfam family: Bacterial small subunit ribosomal RNA
Source: RNAcentral